UAUAUUUUCCAAAUAUACCGAGCGCGCAAAGCGCGCGAGGAACAAGCGCCAGCUAGUUACGUUAUAAUUUUAAUCAGCAAACACGCGGAGGAGAGCGCGAGGGUCGUUGCGCGAACACUGUUAACGCUUGUUGGUUUUAGACAAACUCGCAUGAUUUUUGUAACAAGUGAGUCAUGAUUACACGUUGACGAAAUAUGAAUCGCUGCAUAUCUAUGUGAUCUCAUGUGACAAUCAACGGACCUAUUUGUGUCAUUGACGUAAAACGGCUAGAUCUAGCGAAACGAUUGCGAGUUCAAGCGAAUUCCUACGUAAUUCUCGGUAAUGCAAGUUUUCCAUCAUGUUAUGAGAUCUAUUAUAAAUCUCCAUGUACGCAUUAGAUAAUAUUUAAAAAAAUCUCGUUAAUCGAAUCAACCGCUUAUCGCGCGUAGCGUAAUUCAUUAAACAAUUAAUCUAUACUGUAACUGUUGGUCUGAACAUUCGUAAUUCCUGCCUGUGCAAACGAGCGAUCGUUACCACAUUGCGCACUCAUGUGGAUCAGAAAAAAAAGAGACUCUGAGGUGAAAGUAGUUAAUUAGAAUCGUCUUACACCGACUGCUGCGCUUUAAGGGGGGAUUCUCAUGUAACGAGUCAAAAAAUUUUUUUUGCUUAAAUCAACUCUAAUACAUGUGGAAAAUAUGUUCCUAAAGUUACAAAUCGAUAUUUGACCUCUACGUAUAGUUAUAGUCGAGUUUUCGAUCGCGCGUUGAGUAGGUAGCUGGGAGCGCUCGGAGCGGAGACACGCGUCUCAUCUGUCCUCACUCAUACACUCGUACAUAACAAACAGCUUCGCAGGUAUACGUCUAAUGGUUUUCUUUUGUUGUGAUAUACCUUCGCGUACUUGUAUAGCUGAGGCAGGAAAUUUUUACGAGAGCUUCAAUUCGUGUGUUUGGCGUUUGGCUCCGAAAUAUUUAUAUUGUGGCAUCCGAACAGUGGAAAUAGCCGCAUAUAUUGCUGCAGGAUUAUUCAACGAAGGCUAUUUCGCCGUUUUAAAAAUUAUGGACACAUUAGAACUAAAGAUCGGUACCCAUUGUAAGGAGUAUGCAGACUCGUGUGACGCCGCGCGAAUACGGCAACAGGAGUGACGAAGCCUCAGUAGCUCGAAAGAAGCUCGAACUGCUCACAAAGAACUGAAUUUACAACAGCAGCAAUUAUACGAGGAUGCAGAAGGCCUACUAUAUGGCCCUGGAAUCGCCGAUUAGGACUACCAUUACAGCGGAUGCUAGACUGCACACCGUUUGACGCCUGCGACGCCGAAGCCGCUGAAGGCGGCGUCCAUACCUAUAUCUAUAUAUAUGUUUUUUUUAACCAAAAAAAUAUUUUUAUAUUCUCUUUACAUGUAUUGAUGUACUAUUAAAGUUUGAGAUCCUUUGACUAAAUACGUUCUUGAAAAAAAA
This is a long non-coding RNA of Ooceraea biroi (clonal raider ant), 1433 nucleotides long. RefSeq lists it as uncharacterized. The record is from RefSeq and is a predicted model, not a curated record. Lineage: Eukaryota; Metazoa; Arthropoda; Insecta; Hymenoptera; Formicidae.